RNAcentral lists this ribosomal RNA (415 nucleotides) under uncultured bacterium. RNAcentral's name for it is "bacterial SSU rRNA". It matches the Rfam family "Bacterial small subunit ribosomal RNA", at positions 29 to 453 of the family's 1533-position model. The record is from RNAcentral.
AACGAACGCUGGCGGCGCGCCUAAUACAUGCAAGUCGAACGAUGUAGCAAUACAUAGUGGCGCACGGGAGAGUAACACGUGGAUAAUCUCCCCUCGAGAGAGGAAUAACUAGUCGAAAGAUUGGCUAAUACUUCAUAAGACCACAGAAACUAAUGUUUCAGGGGUAAAAGUCGUAAGACGCUUGAGGAUGAGUCUGCGUCCCAUUAGCUAGUUGGUGAGGUAACGGCUCACCAAGGCGACGAUGGGUAGCUGGUCUGAGAGGAUGAUCAGCCUCACUGGAACUGACACACGGUCCAGACUCCUACGGGAGCAGCAGUAGGAAUAUUGCACAAUGGGCGAAAGCCUGAUGCAGCGACGCCGCGUGAGUGAUGAAGGACUUCGGUUUGUUAAAGCUCUGUUGUCAGGGAAUAAAAAA